CGCAUGUCAAAGGGACCCAGGGUCCAUACGGUUUCCAGCUGCAUUCAACAGUUUACACCCAGCUUGAGGUGAGCUCUUUUUCAUGGUUACUUGACAAAAGUGUAGUUUACCAUUGAAAACUUUUAAAUGCAGUUUAACUUAUAAUGGCUUGUUUAAUUUCAUAUAGGAAUCCUGCAGCACAACGGUGGUCAACGCCAUGGGGGCAAUGGACAUAGCAGAGAGGCCUAGCAUGCUGAGCCUGCUUGUUGAUGGAGAUGUGGAGCACCUGAUACCAGCAUCACUCUGGCUCUCAUUGUAUAGAUCAAUGAAAAAACUGCCUUUCAUGGUGGAAAUAUCGGUAAAGGGAGGAGUGGUUGUGGAGGCGAGGGUGGUAGAGCAGAAGAGAGAGG
This is a non-coding RNA of Xyrichtys novacula (pearly razorfish), 389 nucleotides long. Lineage: Eukaryota; Metazoa; Chordata; Actinopteri; Labriformes; Labridae. The record is from the annotation of a GenBank genome assembly.